UACCUUUUCUCAUUCUUUUCCUUCUUCAAUUUACAUCUUUAACCUAUAUCUUUUAUAAUUAGUUUUGUGAUCUUACUAGUACAAUACUUCACAUCUUCAAAGAGGCUAGAAGAAGUUUCUAAACUUUCGAUCUUGGUGCGUUUAGGGCUACUUCAAGAGACGAUUCUUCCCUAAAUUUGAUAGUUUUUAAUCAUCUUUGGUGUGGAUACCGAUUUCAUUGAGGAGCCGUAUUGAUUGUGGUAGUUGGGUUGCUGUAAUUUAAAAGGUACCUAAAGGUUAGAGUCGAGGUACGGGCAAAGAGCUACGUCCAUUCAUUUUAUGUAAAGUUAUAAUAUUUCUUUCCGCCUUAGUUUUAUGUAUAAUUAGUAUUUUAAGAAAUAAUAGUGUAAAUAUUAAUCUGCGCUAAAUAUUUUAGGUUAGGUUGUAAUAGUUUAACUUAAGUUAUGAUUCAGAUGCUUGAUGGAUAGUUUCCUUAGCGAUUAUUCUUAAAAUAAUCGUGGAAUAAUACGCUUGAAAUUUCGAGUUAGGAGAUGUGUUGGCGAUUGAGCUAUAUGGAGUUGAAAACUUGGAAUAUGGAAUGAAUAUUUUGUUGAAACAGGUUUAUAUUUUGGACGUCGUCCUAAAUUAAUAUUUUGGGCAGUCCAUAUUUCAAACAACUUUGCAAAAAUUUUGGUAGAAUUGUUGUAUAAUAUAAUAUAGUCUAAUUACUCGAAAUUCAGGGCUGUUAUACAAAAAUGACAUCGAAUUCACCCAACUCGAACCCAACCAAGUCCGCGAAUAAAAUCUUGGAAGAAAUUUCAAUAGAGCGGUUUUUGUAAAGUUUGUUACAAGAAAAUUGCAAACCAUCAGAAAUUCCAACUUUUAAAUUAACUUUUUCAAAACUAGGGGGUGAUUUAAGUUUUUGUAGAAAUCUAUGUGAAAUGAAAGAAUAAUCAGCUCCAGUAUCGAAUAAUACAUAGGCUAAUUGAUUGCAAACUUUAAGGACACCAGAAAUGACAUUACCAAGAGGCUCUGAAUCUGCAGGAGUCUCUAACUCGUCUCCCAUAGCAUACAAUCUCCCCACUGCCCUCCGAUAUUUCUUACUAGAGUUCCCUUGCCUACCCCCUAGCUGAAUCUUGUUGGGAUUAUUUUUUUUCGAACAGUCCUUGGACAUUUGACCAGCCUGACCACAAGUAAAACACAACCUUCUUCCAUGGCAAUCAAGCCCUUAGUGUUUUCUGCCGCAUUGGUUACAUACUCAUGUCUCCCUCUUUUGCUGCAUUGAUAAGCUUUGGUUUCCGGAUGAACUGUUGUUAGGCUUAUGGUACUGAAAUUUUGUAUUUUCUACCCUGGGUUUCUUUGACUGAUACACCACUUGUUUACCCUUAUCCCUAUUGAACCUCUCUUUCUUCUCUUGAACUCUCUCCUAUUCUAAAGCACUAUCAAGAAAAUCUUGGAAGUCUCUAUACUUAGUAACAUACUUUUGCAAAUUCAGGUUCAAGCCCUCAAAGAAUCAAGAAGCUUUCAUCCGGUCCUUUGCCACAAAAUCUGGUGCGAACUUAGACAAUUCCAUAAAUCUGGCUGAAUACUCUAGUACAUUCAUCUUAUCCUGGGUCAACAUAAGAAACUCACUUUCCUUUCUCCUUUGUAGGGAGAUCGGAAAAAAUCUAGUCCUCAAACUUACUAAGAACUCUUCCCAAGUCAAUCCAAUAUGGUCUCUCUCAGCUUUUACAGUUUUCCAACACAAGUUAGCAGUGCCCUCCAUGUAAAAAGAAGCAAUUUUCACCAUAAGAUAUUUUUGGUAGUUAACAACGUCUAAGAUUUUCUCUAUUUGAUCAACCCAAUUUUCCAACUUCACUAGAUCCAACUCACCAUCAUUGUAUAGGGUUCUAUGGCCUCCCAACCUCUUAUACAACUCAAUUUCCUAAUAUAGCUCACCUAUACGGUUUUGGUUUUUAAGGAUUCAAAGUAACCUCUCGUUUGUUUCCUCUAACCUUCUCAUUUUGGCUAUCACACCAUCAUUCUCCAUCCCGUUAGGCAAAAGACGAUCGCGACCUAUGGACAAUCUGUUUUCUCUAUAAUCAAAUAGAAAAGGCAGAAAUCACUUAUAAAUUCUACUCUUAGCAUAAUAACAUAAACUUUAC
Molecule: long non-coding RNA, 2123 nt
Organism: Amaranthus tricolor (Joseph's coat)
Lineage: Eukaryota; Viridiplantae; Streptophyta; Magnoliopsida; Caryophyllales; Amaranthaceae
Exons: 3
Source: RefSeq, a predicted model, not a curated record